This 375-nucleotide long non-coding RNA is filed under the name Solanum lycopersicum (tomato). Its description in RNAcentral is "partial TCONS_00051546". Lineage: Eukaryota; Viridiplantae; Streptophyta; Magnoliopsida; Solanales; Solanaceae. The record is from RNAcentral.
GAACAAAAGAGGAAAAAAUGGAGAGGAUAUUUAUUUUUCCAUUAAAAUAAUAGUAUCACUCUGUUGCAUUAUGGGGAUUCUUGGAAUAUUUUAUAUCAAAACACAGCUAAAGAAUGGUAUAUGGAAAAGAGGAAGUCAAACAUCAAAGUACUUUAGGUGAAAAAAUGGGUGCAUAUGGCCUAUGGGUGCUAGAAAAGAAAGAAGAGUGAAGUAUGGAUUUCUAAAGGCAAAUUUUGCUGAUCUAUUCCUGUCAUGUGGAUGAAUGCAGCGAAUAACUGGAAAUAUGUGAAUUGACGAAUAUAACUUCCACCAUUGACACCACUAUCAACUGUGAGUGCACGGAUUCUGCAUUCGAGUAAGCUGGCUCCUUGUAAA